GAUGAACGCUGGCGGCGUGCCUAAUACAUGCAAGUCGAACGAACAGAUGAGGAGCUUGCUCCUCUGACGUUAGCGGCGGACGGGUGAGUAACACGUGGAUAACCUACCUAUAAGUCUGGGAUAACUUCGGGACACCGGCGCUAAUACCGGAUAAUAUAUUGAACCGCAUGGUUCAAUAGUGAAAGACGGUUUUGCUGUCACUUAUAGCUGGAUCCGCGCCGUAUUAGCUAGUUGGUAAGGUAACGGCUUUCCAAGGCAACGAUGCGUAGCCGACGGGAGAGGGUGAUCGGCCACACGGGAACUGAGACAGCGUCCAGACUCCUAAGGGAGGCAGCAGUAGGGAAUGGGCCGCAAUGGGCGAAAGCCUGACGGAGCAAGGCCGCGUGAGUGAUGAAGGCCUUCGGAUCGUAAAACUCUGUUAUUAGGGAUGAACAAAUGUGUAAGUAAAUAUGCACGUCUUGACGGUACCUAAUCAGAAAGCCACGGCUAACUACGUG
RNAcentral lists this ribosomal RNA (497 nucleotides) under uncultured bacterium. RNAcentral describes it as "partial 16S ribosomal RNA". It matches the Rfam family "Bacterial small subunit ribosomal RNA", at positions 28 to 507 of the family's 1533-position model. The record is from RNAcentral.